RNAcentral lists this ribosomal RNA (878 nucleotides) under Salmonella enterica subsp. enterica serovar Durham. RNAcentral's name for it is "partial 23S ribosomal RNA". It matches the Rfam family "Bacterial large subunit ribosomal RNA", at positions 663 to 1542 of the family's 2925-position model. The record is from RNAcentral. Lineage: Bacteria; Pseudomonadati; Pseudomonadota; Gammaproteobacteria; Enterobacterales; Enterobacteriaceae.
GAGCCGCAGGGAAACCGAGUCUUAAUUGGGCGUUAAGUUGCAGGGUAUAGACCCGAAACCCGGUGAUCUAGCCAUGGGCAGGUUGAAGGUUGGGUAACACUAACUGGAGGACCGAACCGACUAAUGUUGAAAAAUUAGCGGAUGACCUGUGGCUGGGGGUGAAAGGCCAAUCAAACCGGGAGAUAGCUGGUUCUCCCCGAAAGCUAUUUAGGUAGCGCCUCGUGAAUUCAUCUCCGGGGGUAGAGCACUGUUUCGGCUAGGGGGCCAUCCCGGCUUACCAACCCGAUGCAAACUGCGAAUACCGGAGAAUGUUAUCACGGGAGACACACGGCGGGUGCUAACGUCCGUCGUGAAGAGGGAAACAACCCAGACCGCCAGCUAAGGUCCCAAAGUCAUGGUUAAGUGGGAAACGAUGUGGGAAGGCCCAGACAGCCAGGAUGUUGGCUUAGAAGCAGCCAUCAUUUAAAGAAAGCGUAAUAGCUCACUGGUCGAGUCGGCCUGCGCGGAAGAUGUAACGGGGCUAAACCAUGCACCGAAGCUGCGGCAGCGACACUGUGUGUUGUUGGGUAGGGGAGCGUUCUGUAAGCCUGCGAAGGUGGCCUGUGAGGGUUGCUGGAGGUAUCAGAAGUGCGAAUGCUGACAUAAGUAACGAUAAAGCGGGUGAAAAGCCCGCUCGCCGGAAGACCAAGGGUUCCUGUCCAACGUUAAUCGGGGCAGGGUGAGUCGACCCCUAAGGCGAGGCCGAAAGGCGUAGUCGAUGGGAAACGGGUUAAUAUUCCCGUACUUGGUGUUACUGCGAAGGGGGGACGGAGAAGGCUAUGUUGGCCGGGCGACGGUUGUCCCGGUUUAAGCGUGUAGGUGUGUGUUCCAGGUAAAUC